This 742-nucleotide ribosomal RNA is filed under the name uncultured bacterium. RNAcentral describes it as "bacterial SSU rRNA". It matches the Rfam family "Bacterial small subunit ribosomal RNA", at positions 94 to 823 of the family's 1533-position model. The record is from RNAcentral.
AGCGGCGGAUGGGUGAGUAACACGUGGGGAACCUGCCCCUAAGUCUGGGAUACCAUUUGGAAACAGGUGCUAAUACCGGAUAAUAAAGCAGAUCGCAUGAUCAGCUUUUGAAAGGCGGCGUAAGCUGUCGCUAAGGGAUGGCCCCGCGGUGCAUUAGCUAGUUGGUAAGGUAACGGCUUACCAAGGCGACGAUGCAUAGCCGAGUUGAGAGACUGAUCGGCCACAUUGGGACUGAGACACGGCCCAAACUCCUACGGGAGGCAGCAGUAGGGAAUCUUCCACAAUGGACGCAAGUCUGAUGGAGCAACGCCGCGUGAGUGAAGAAGGUUUUCGGAUCGUAAAGCUCUGUUGUUGGUGAAGAAGGAUAGAGGUAGUAACUGGCCUUUAUUUGACGGUAAUCAACCAGAAAGUCACGGCUAACUACGUGCCAGCAGCCGCGGUAAUACGUAGGUGGCAAGCGUUGUCCGGAUUUAUUGGGCGUAAAGCGAGCGCAGGCGGAAAAAUAAGUCUAAUGUGAAAGCCCUCGGCUUAACCGAGGAACUGCAUCGGAAACUGUUUUUCUUGAGUGCAGAAGAGGAGAGUGGAACUCCAUGUGUAGCGGUGGAAUGCGUAGAUAUAUGGAAGAACACCAGUGGCGAAGGCGGCUCUCUGGUCUGCAACUGACGCUGAGGCUCGAAAGCAUGGGUAGCGAACAGGAUUAGAUACCCUGGUAGUCCAUGCCGUAACGAUGAGUGCUAAGUGU